Pyrus x bretschneideri (Chinese white pear) is the source of this 5131-nucleotide RNA transcript. It is a transcript of the gene named putative disease resistance protein RGA3, with no coding region annotated. NCBI's taxonomy places the organism in Eukaryota, Viridiplantae, Streptophyta, Magnoliopsida, Rosales, Rosaceae. The transcript has 3 exons. The record is from RefSeq and is a predicted model, not a curated record.
AACGACGAGGAGAGGGAAGCUUCGUAGGCAAUUUCCCCAGAAAAGAGAGGGUCUCGUUUUUUUUGUGAAAUAAAUUAAAAAAAAUUAUUGGCCGCACGAUUUGCUUCCGCUGUGAAUCAACGACAAGGAUGUUGUGGGCCGCAGGCUCCACACAGAAAGUUCUGGAUGGCAAGUUCAUUCUUGGUCAAUUGAGCAAUCACAAGGUCAAUGCAAACUGGGGGAUGCAUCAUAAUAACAGUCUCAAAAGCCUUUCAUAGUACAUUGAGCUAUUAGCGGACUUAGCAACCAAGAGAAAACCAAGAGAAAAAUGGCUGGCGCUUUGAUUGGAGAGGCUUUUCUCUCCGCUUCCAUCGAGGUGCUGUGUGACAGAAUUGCUUCAACCGAGUUUGUUGACUUGUUCCGGCAGAAUAAGCUGGACGAAACCCUACUCGAGAAACUGAAGGUGACGCUGCCCGCCCUUUCUGCAGUCCUCAAUGAUGCAGAAGAGAAGCAAAUUUCAAACCGUGCUGUGAGAAAAUGGCUUGACGAGCUCAAGCAUGCUGUCUUGGACGCGGAGGACUUGCUGGAUGAGAUCGACACUGAAGCUCUGCGACGCAAGGUGGAAGGUGAAGGUCAAACCGAGAAAUUAACCGACAAGGUGUGGAACUUCUUCUCUACUUCUCCUACUCAAAGCAUGAAUGUUGAGAUACAAAAGUUAUUGCAAAGGCUGGAUGGCUUUGUGCAACAGAAGGUUGCCCUUGGUCUGACGGGAGAUGUUGCGAGGAAGUUUUCACAAAGAACUCCAACAACUUCCUUGAUUCAUGAACCUUUUGUAUAUGGAAGAGACGAAGAUAAAGAAAAUUUAUCAAAAGUCUUGUUCUCUGAUGAUGCGAGCGAGGAUGAUGUAUCUAUCCUCACCAUUGUUGGUAUGGGCGGGGUUGGCAAGACGACCCUUGCUCGAGCCCUUUACAACGAUGAUAAGGUGAACGAGCACUUUACCCUUAGAUCUUGGGCAUGUGUUUCAGAAGAUUAUGAUGCUAUUAGGGUGACUAAAACUCUUCUCGAGUCGGUCACUUCAAAACCUUGUAACAUGACAGAUUUGAAUUUGCUUCAAGUUGAACUUAGAGAACAACUGAGAGGAAAGAAAUUCUUAUUUGUGUUGGAUGACCUUUGGAAUGACAACUAUUGUGAAUUGAAGCGCUUGCAAGCUCCUUUUACUUCCGGGGCAAGGGGAAGUAAAGUCAUCGUGACAACACGAAGCGGAAAGGUGGCAUCUCACAUGAAUAAUGUUCCCAUUCAACAAUUGGAGCCUUUGUCGCACGAAGAUUGUUGGAUGUUACUUGCAAACCAUGCAUUUGGAAACAAAAACCACAAUGCACAUCCAACUUUGGAAGAAAUUGGCAAGAAAAUUGCACGCAAGUGCAAUGGGUUGCCUUUAGCAGCAGAAACACUCGGGGGUCUAUUACGUCAGAGAGACUUCAAGGAAUGGAACAUAUUAUUAAAUAGUAGUCUUUGGGAGCUACCUUGUGAUGAAAGUGGUAUCCUUCCAGCCCUACGGUUGAGCUAUCAUUAUCUCCCUGCUCAGUUGAAACGAUGCUUUGUGUAUUGUUCACUAUUUCCAAAAGACUAUCAGUUCAAGAAGGAAGAUAUGGUUCUACUUUGGAUGGCAGAAGGUUUAAUUCCGCAAGGUUUUAACGGACAAAGAAUGGAAGACACGGCUAGAAGUUACUUUGAUGAACUAGUAUCACGAUCACUACUUCAAAAAUCAGGGGAGGAUGGUUUUACAAUGCAUGAUCUUCUUAACGACUUGGGUCAGUUCAUGUCUAGGGGAUUUUUUCUCAGGUUGGAAGAGAGGGAAUCACAAGAAGUUAAAAGACUUCGUCAUUUGUCAUAUGCUAGGGGAGAAUUUGAUGCUGCUAAAAAAUUUGAGCCAUUAAAUGGGGCUAAGUGUCUGCGGACCUUCCUACCUAUCUCAAUACAUGACUGGUUUGAACGUUUCUACAUAAGUAAAAAGUUUCUACAUGAUUUGUUGUCAUCCAUGAAACGUUUACGGGUUUUAUCAUUGUCCCGUUAUAAAAAUGUUGCUGAAGUACCUGAUUCUGUGGGCAAUCUCAUUCACCUGCGCUACCUGGAUCUCUCCAAGACGGAAAUUGUAAAGUUACCUGGUGCAGUUUGCACUCUCUACAAUUUGCAGACGUUACUGCUGUCAGAUUGUCAUAAUCUCAUUGAACUGCCAGCAGACAUGAGAAAAUUGAUAAAUUUACGGACGUUAACGUUGACAGGUUGCCGUCGCCUUACUAAAUUACCAGCAGAUAUGAGGGAAUUGAGUAGUUUGCAUUACCUCGAUGUCAGUGGAACAGAGAUAGAAGGGAUGCCAGUGGAAAUUGGAAGACUAAAGAGUUUGAGAACAUUAACUGCCUUUGUUGUGGGGAAAUCUACCGGAUCUAGCAUUGGAGAAUUAAGGGAGUUGCAGCAUCUUCAAGGAAGACUUCGUAUUUCAAAUCUGCAAAAUGUAGUUGAUGUUGUGGAUGCUUUGGAAGCCAAUUUGAAGAAUAAGAAAGAACUCAAUGACUUAGAGUUGGCAUGGGGUGAUGAGGAAGCCGAUGAUUCCCAAAAGGAGAGAGAUGUGCUUGACAAGCUCCAACCUUCUGCAAAUUUGGAGAAACUGACUAUCAGAUUCUAUGGAGGAACCAGCUUCCCAAACUGGUUAGGAAGCUCUAAUUCCUUCUCGAACAUACAGUUCAUGUGUAUCAGUAAUUGUAAGUAUUGUUUGUCCUUGCCAAGUUUUGGGCAGCUGCCCACUCUUAAAGAGCUUCGUGUCAAAAGAAUGAAAUUUGUUAGGACGGUUGGUGUUGAAUUCUAUGGUGAUCUUAAUGGAGCUUCUGUAAUUCAGCCCUUUCGGUCUCUGAAGACGCUGGAGUUUGAGGAGAUGCCAGAGUGGGAAGAGUGGGAGAAUUGGCGACCGAGUCCAAGUGGAGCUUCUGUACUUCAGCCCUUUCCUUGUCUCCAGGUGCUGAGCAUAAGCAAUUGUCCGAAGCUGAGAGGAUACUUGCCCAAUCGUCUUCCAUGCUUGAAAACACUUUGGGUGUUUGGGUGUGGAUAUCUACGUCUGCAUGAUGAAUGGGCCAGUAGUAGUAGUAGUGGUCUUAACAUGGACUACUUACAGAAUUCAUUGGAAAUAGGUAUUGGAGGAUGCCCAGGUCUGUUACCAUUAAUAGAGAGAGUAGAGAAGAAGUUCUUGUCCACACUUCACAUUUAUAAUUUUGAUGCAAUACAGUGCCUGCCCAAAAUGAAAUAUCUUCGAAGAUUGAGUCUCUACUAUUGCCCAACCGUGUCGUCAUUAGAGUUCUUAUCUCAUGAGAUGAUGGCCGAAUUGACAUCACUUGAGUAUUUGGAGAUCUGGAAUAGUUUUCAUUCAGUGAGGUCCUUCCCGUUGGGCGUUUUCCCCAAACUUUCAACUCUUCAUAUCCAUGGCUGUGAGAAUCUGGAAUCCUUUUCUAUUGAAGGAGUUGAUCACAACCUAAGCCACCUCAACUCCCUGCGAAUCGAGGGCUGUCCAAAUCUGGCGUCUUUCCCGGACGGAGGAUUGCCCACUCCCAACUUGAGACAAUUGCAAGUCUGGGGAUGCGAGAAUUUGAAGUCGUUCCCCGAACGAAUUCGCACCCUCACCGCCCUUGAACGAUUGUAUUUAUACGAUCUUCCAAAUCUGGUAUCAUUUGCCCAAGGGGGUUUGCCUCCCAACCUGCAAUAUUUGGAUAUUGUCGGUUGCGACAAAGUGAAGCCUUCAGUGGAGUGGGGAUUACAAGGACUUGUCUCCCUUAAAAAAUUUGAAAUUGUUGGCGAGAUCUGUGCACAGCUCCUGCUCCCUACUACUCUUAACGGUCUCCACAUCCGUGGACUAUCAAGUCUGAAAUCGGUGGUGGUCGUAAAAGUACUUCGACACCUUGCUUCUCUUCAAUUUCUAUCUAUUGAAGGUUGCCCAAGUCUGGAAUUCCUGCCCCGAGAGGGACUUCAACACCUCACUUCUCUUCGAGAUCUAAAUAUUGUUUAUUGCCCAAGUCUGGAAUUCCUUCCAGCAGAGGGACUUCUACACCUCACGUCUCUUCAAAAGCUACGAAUUUAUGGGUGUCCAAAACUCCAAUUCCUGCCAGAAAACGGUUUGCCGCCCUCUCUUUCUUACCUGGAGAUCUUCUCUUGUUCCACCCUGGAGAAAAGGUACGAGGAUAAGAAAGGAGAAGAUUGGGCCAAGAUAUCUCACAUUCCUUGCAUACGGAUAAACGACGAAGUGAUCAUAUGAGCUCUGUCUCUCUCAUACAAAGUUGUGGCAUUUCACUCUCAGGAAGGAAGACACAUUAUCGCUACAUCUUUAACAUUUUCGGAUGGUAUGAAGAGGAUCAAUCCAGCAUAGUAAGCAGCAAAAGUGCAACAUGUAUAGAAUAGGUGGCACAUUUGCAAUCAUUAGGACUCAAGCCUAGCUAGAUCUUCCCCACCAAAUCCUAAGGAUCCGGAAAUUCAGAUUCUUGAAAUUUGAUCCAAUAGUUACAAUUAUUAUCAUUUUAGAAGGGCCUCUCUUUUUGUAACAUUUGGAUUAAAUUUCAACGGUCCGGAUCUUCAAAUCCUUAGGAUUUGGUGAGGUGAGAUCCGGCUGGGAUCUCUGUCCCUCAAGCCAUAUGUGAUUACUCACCGCUCUAAAAUAAGGAGGUGGAAGUCUUCAUAUAGAGGUGGCUGGUAUAGGACUUGUUGGUGCCUUACUAUUUGAACAUCUGGAUGCUUACGUUCAAGCUUUUACUCGCAAAGCUAGAACAUGACAUCAUUCAAGCUACACGUAGAUAGAUCCUCCGUGAAGCACAAGCAAUUCCAAUCAUCCCCUUUACAGGAAAGAACAUGCAGAAAAGAAGACACCAGCAAGAGGAAGAAGUUCCCUCCUCCUCGGACCACUCCUUCACAAUCCAUAUCUUUUAGAUUAUGUAAAGGCUUUCAAUCCAUCUCCAAUGUAUUUUGUAAAUCUUCUUAUGUAGUGAAAUACUAAUACAAACACAAGGUAGUGGACGUAGCUAAUUUGGUGAGCCACUUAAAUUCUGUGUAUGUUUUUGUUAUUACAAGAAUCAUGCAUGAAUCACCAUCAAAAGAGAAACAAAACUAUUUAUUGUAA